This 254-nucleotide ribosomal RNA is filed under the name uncultured bacterium. RNAcentral describes it as "partial 16S ribosomal RNA". It matches the Rfam family "Bacterial small subunit ribosomal RNA", at positions 524 to 776 of the family's 1533-position model. The record is from RNAcentral.
GACGGAGGGUGCUAGCGUUGUUCGGAAUCACUGGGCGUAAAGGGCGCGUAGGCGGCCUUGCAAGUCGGUUGUUGAAAGCCCGGGGCUCAACCCCGGAGGUGCGGCCGAGACUGCAGGGCUGGAGGCCGGAAGAGGAGGGUGGAAUACCCAGUGUAGAGGUGAAAUUCGUAGAUAUUGGGUGGAACACCGGUGGCGAAAGCGGCUCUCUGGGCCGGACCUGACGCUGAGGCGCGAAAGCGUGGGGAGCAAACAGG